UGGGGAAUUUUGGACAAUGGGCGAAAGCCUGAUCCAGCAAUGCCGCGUGUGUGAAGAAGGCCUUCGGGUUGUAAAGCACUUUUGUCCGGAAAGAAAUCCUUGGCUCUAAUACAGUCGGGGGAUGACGGUACCGGAAGAAUAAGCACCGGCUAACUACGUGCCAGCAGCCGCGGUAAUACGUAGGGUGCAAGCGUUAAUCGGAAUUACUGGGCGUAAAGCGUGCGCAGGCGGUUUGCUAAGACCGAUGUGAAAUCCCCGGGCUCAACCUGGGAACUGCAUUGGUGACUGGCAGGCUAGAGUAUGGCAGAGGGGGGUAGAAUUCCACGUGUAGCAGUGAAAUGCGUAGAGAUGUGGAGGAAUACCGAUGGCGAAGGCAGCCCCCUGGGCCAAUACUGACGCUCAUGCACGAAAGCGUGGGGAGCAAACAGGAUUAGAUACCCCUGGUAGUCCACGCCCUAAACGAUGUCAACUAGUUGUUGGGGAUUCAUUUCCUUAGUAACGUAGCUAACGCGUGAAGUUGACCGCCUGGGGAGUACGGUCGCAAGAUUAAAACUCAAUGAAUUGACGGGGUCAUAGCUGUUU
RNAcentral lists this ribosomal RNA (582 nucleotides) under uncultured bacterium. RNAcentral's name for it is "partial 16S ribosomal RNA". It matches the Rfam family "Bacterial small subunit ribosomal RNA", at positions 355 to 935 of the family's 1533-position model. The record is from RNAcentral.